GUCCAAGUGAUCUUGUUGUUCAGUUCCCACCUAUGAGUGAGAACAUGCGGUGUUUGGUUUUCUGUUCUUGUGAUAGUUUGCUAAGAAUGAUGGUUUAUUGCGGCACUAUUCACAAUAGCAAAGACUUGGAAUCAGCCCAAAUGUCCAUCAGUGACAGACUGGAUUAAGAAAAUGUGGCACAUAUACACCAUGGAAUACUAUGCAGCCAUAAAAAAGGAUGAGUUUGUGUCCUUUGUAGGGACAUGGAUGCAGCUGGAAAGCACAUUCUGUUUCUAGGGCAGCAUGACAACAGAGCCCCAACUGUCAGGCCAUUCUCCCUAUCUCAGCAUGUUACGUACCCAGCCGUUCUAGUGAUUAUUGAGAACUACAGGCAAGAAGGGCGCUGGGAGAAGGUCAGUUGGAUGCCUUCUGGAGAACUGUCCUUCCAAGGUGGAGUUUCCUUGCAAGAAUCCAUAAUGAUGAAAACCUCCAACCUCAAGAGUAGAAAUAGAAACAAAGAGAAAUAAUUUUCCUUGGUUGGCUCUCUACAUGGAUGGCAGAACACCAGACACCUGUCUAAAAAUCAAGGAGGCCUCCUGAAGUCGAGCAGAGGAAAGGAGACAAGCUCAGUGUCUGAACAUCUCCUUUUGUUACAUCCUCCACUGUCGUUUAAUUAUGAUCAAACCAGCUGGCAUUAAACUUCAAAAUAAAGCAGAAUAACACAGCUUCUUUAAUUUGGCACUUAAAAAAAGAGGUGCUCCAGGGACCGCACAACUCUGACCUCUGCAGAGCCGGUAAGCCUGCACCAUGCCUCGCUGGCUUUUCCUGUGACCUGUAGCCUUUCUAUUGUGCUACCUGACCUCCAGAUCUGUAACCCAGGUGCCCUGCUUCCCCUCUGUUCUGACCAGCUCAGUCCCUAAGCCUCAGUGAGACAGUGGGGGCUAAAGGCAUCUAAAACUGAAGCUGCUUUCAGUAAUUGAUCAUCUUAUCUACUUCAUUGAACUUCAUUUAUUUUAGCAGAAUCUGUCUUCAUUUUUUUCUACUCAGCAUGAGGCAUUUGAAUUUCGCCCCUCACCUCUUUCAGCCCUAUUUCUGUUAUGUAUUUCCUGAGUAUUAUAAUGCUUAUCAUCUGUUGCUUUUCGACAAGGUGACUCUUGAACCAUCCCCAG
RNAcentral lists this long non-coding RNA (1148 nucleotides) under Papio anubis (olive baboon). RNAcentral describes it as "lncRNA (ENSPANG00000045546.1)". Lineage: Eukaryota; Metazoa; Chordata; Mammalia; Primates; Cercopithecidae. The record is from RNAcentral.